GACGAACGCUGGCGGCGUGCUUAACACAUGCAAGUCGAACGGAAAGGCCCUGCUUUUGUUGGGUGCUCGAGUGGCGAACGGGUGAGUAACACGUGAGUAACCUGCCCUUGACUUUGGGAUAACUUCAGGAAACUGGGGCUAAUACCGGAUAGGAGCUCCUGCUGCAUGGUGGGGGUUGGAAAGGUUCGGCGGUUGGGGAUGGACUCGCGGCUUAUCAGCGUGUUGGUGGGGUAGUGGCUUACCAAGGCUUUGACGGGUAGCCGGCCUGAGAGGGUGACCGGCCACAUUGGGACUGAGAUACGGCCCAGACUCCUACGGGAGGCAGCAGUGGGGAAUAAUGCACAAUGGGCGGAAGCCUGAUGCAGCAACGCCGCGUGGGGGAUGACGGCCUUCGGGUUGUAAACCGCUUUCGGCUGUGAUGAAGCGUGAGUGAAGGUAAUGGGUAAAGAAGCACCGGCUAACUACGUG
RNAcentral lists this ribosomal RNA (468 nucleotides) under uncultured bacterium. RNAcentral's name for it is "partial 16S ribosomal RNA". It matches the Rfam family "Bacterial small subunit ribosomal RNA", at positions 28 to 507 of the family's 1533-position model. The record is from RNAcentral.